CAAAUGAAUUGACGGGGGCCCGCACAAGCGGUGGAGCAUGUGGUUUAAUUCGAUGCAACGCGAAGAACCUUACCUGGCCUUGACAUCCAGAGAACUUAGCAGAGAUGCUUUGGUGCCUUCGGGAACUCUGAGACAGGUGCUGCAUGGCUGUCGUCAGCUCGUGUUGUGAAAUGUUGGGUUAAGUCCCGCAACGAGCGCAACCCUUAUCCUUUGUUGCCAGCGG
This 223-nucleotide ribosomal RNA is filed under the name Pantoea sp. DJM4A12. RNAcentral describes it as "partial 16S ribosomal RNA". It matches the Rfam family "Bacterial small subunit ribosomal RNA", at positions 902 to 1124 of the family's 1533-position model. Lineage: Bacteria; Pseudomonadati; Pseudomonadota; Gammaproteobacteria; Enterobacterales; Erwiniaceae. The record is from RNAcentral.